Molecule: long non-coding RNA, 645 nt
Organism: Daktulosphaira vitifoliae (grape phylloxera)
Lineage: Eukaryota; Metazoa; Arthropoda; Insecta; Hemiptera; Phylloxeridae
Exons: 3
Source: RefSeq, a predicted model, not a curated record
CAUAGUCAAUUUGAUCUUUGAAAAUUACAUUAUUUUGUAAAAAAAGCUCAAUUUAGAAAACAAAAUUUUCCAACUUAAAAGUUAAAAAACGUGUUGGUAAUUAUGGAAUAUGUUAGAGUAUCACAUAAAAAAAAAACAAUGAAAGUUUCAAGUCUUAAAUAUAAAUACUGUUAUCAUAAGGAUAUUUUUACGAAUUACAAGUAUUUCAUAAUUUAAAACUUUUGAUAAGUCAUAAAUACAUUUUCGUAAAACUUUUUUAAUUUUUUUUUUUUAAUAUUUUCUUCUUAUAUACUAGACAACUUGUGUGUAAAAUUUCAAAAAAAAAUAAAGUGGUCGCGCAACGACUUUGGAUGAUUUGAUAUGGAUUUACCCUAACGUCAUUUUAUGUCUUCAAUGCAACACGUAGCGUAGAGACUUUUGAAAACUGUCCAAAAAAAUUGGAAUCAAAAAUAUCAACACUUUGUGAUGCUGGAUUUUUAUAAAUAAGUAAUGGACAAAAUGUUAUGUUACUGCUGCAGUCAUGGUUUGAAAGAUUGGGAUGAUGAAGACGACCCAUGGGUAGAACAUGUACGUUGGUCUUCUAGCUGUACACGUAUAUUGUUAUGUAAGGGUUAGUUAUUUGUCCAAAAUAAUAAAAUAACGAAA